GGGAAUAGUUCAAUGGUAGAGCAGCGGUCUCCAAAACCGUAGAUGGGGGUUCGAGCCCCUCUUCCC
RNAcentral lists this transfer RNA (66 nucleotides) under Enterocloster clostridioformis. It matches the Rfam family "tRNA". From Rfam's summary of the family: Transfer RNA (tRNA) molecules are approximately 80 nucleotides in length. The record is from RNAcentral. Lineage: Bacteria; Bacillati; Bacillota; Clostridia; Lachnospirales; Lachnospiraceae. RNAcentral also lists the same sequence under 15 other names.